UGUGUUGUGGCUCAGUGGUAGAGCACUCACCUAGCAUGUGUGAAGCACUGGGUUUGAUUCUCAUCAAUAUAA
Molecule: transfer RNA, 72 nt
Filed under: Marmota marmota marmota (Alpine marmot)
Lineage: Eukaryota; Metazoa; Chordata; Mammalia; Rodentia; Sciuridae
Also listed under: 1 other name
Rfam family: tRNA
About the family: Transfer RNA (tRNA) molecules are approximately 80 nucleotides in length. Their secondary structure includes four short double-helical elements and three loops (D, anti-codon, and T loops).
Source: Rfam by way of RNAcentral